ACGUAGGGGGCAAGCGUUAUCCGGAUUUACUGGGUGUAAAGGGAGCGCAGGCGGCAUGAUAAGUCUGAUGUGAAAACCCAAGGCUCAACCAUGGGACUGCAUUGGAAACUGUCGUGCUGGAGUGUCGGAGAGGUAAGCGGAAUUCCUAGUGUAGCGGUGAAAUGCGUAGAUAUUAGGAGGAACACCAGUGGCGAAGGCGGCUUACUGGACGAUGACUGACGCUGAGGCUCGAAAGCGUGGGGAGCAAACAG
This 251-nucleotide ribosomal RNA is filed under the name uncultured bacterium. RNAcentral describes it as "partial 16S ribosomal RNA". It matches the Rfam family "Bacterial small subunit ribosomal RNA", at positions 525 to 775 of the family's 1533-position model. The record is from RNAcentral.